Molecule: ribosomal RNA, 301 nt
Filed under: uncultured bacterium
Lineage: Bacteria
Description: partial 16S ribosomal RNA
Rfam family: Bacterial small subunit ribosomal RNA
Source: RNAcentral
CAGCCGCCGCGGUAAUACGGAGGGAGCUAGCGUUGUUCGGAAUUACUGGGCGUAAAGCGCACGUAGGCGGCUUGGUAAGUUAGAGGUGAAAGCCCGGAGCUCAACUCCGGAAUUGCCUUUAAGACUGCCGAGCUAGUAGGUGAGAGAGGUAAGUGGAAUUCCGAGUGUAGAGGUGAAAUUCGUAGAUAUUCGGAAGAACACCAGUGGCGAAGGCGGCUUACUGGCUCAUUCUAGACGCUGAGGUGCGAAAGCCUGGGGAGCAAACAGGAUUAGAUACCCCAGUAGUCCCUGUCUCUUAUAC